CCCGCGCUCCUCCGGGCAGAGCGCGUGUGGCGGCCGAGCACAUGGGCCCGCGGGCCGGGCGGGCUCGGGGCGGCCGGGACGAGGAGGGGCGACGACGAGCUGCGAGCAAAGAUGUGCCCCGGGACCCCCGGCACCUUCCAGUGGAUUUCCUUGCGGAAAGGAUGUUGGCGGUCCCUGUGACCUGUGGAGACACGGCCAGAUCUGCCCUCCAGCCUGAUCUUUUGGCCAGAAGGAGAUUAAAAAGAUGCCCCUCAAGAUGGCUGUGCCUGUCAGCUGCAUGGAGCUUCGUUCAAGUAUUUUCUGAGCCUGAUGGAUUUACAGUGAUCUUCAGUGGUCUGGGGAAUAACGCUGGUGGAACCAUGCACUGGAAUGACACACGCCCGGCACAUUUCAGGAUACUAAAAGUGGUUUUAAGGGAGGCUGUGGCUGAAUGCCUCAUGGAUUCUUACAGCUUGGAUGUCCAUGGGGGACGAAGGACUGCAGCUGGCUGAGAGGGUUGAGAUCUCUGUUUACUUAGAUCUCUGCCAACUUCCUUUGGGUCUCCCUAUGGAAUGUAAGACCCCGACUCUUCCUGGUGAAGCAUCUGAUGCACGUUCCAUCCGGCGCUCAGCUGGGCUUGAGAGUCUCACUCUGUGGUCCAGGCUGAAGUACAGUGGCAUGAUCCCAGGUCACUGCAACCCCCACCUCCCGGGUUCAAGUGAUCCUCCUGCCUCAGCCUCCCGAGUAGCUGGUAUUACAGGCGUGUGCCACAAAGCCUGGCUAAGUUUUGUAUUUUUAGUAGAGACGGGGUUUCACCAUGUUGGCCAGGUUGGUCUCGAACUCCUGACCUCAAGUGAUCCACUCACUUUGGCCUUUCAACGUGCUGGGAUUACAGGCGAGAGUCACCGCACCCGGACGACUCUGACAUUUUUGAAGAGUCCAGAAUCCUGUUACACCUGGGAUUUAGGCACUUUCAAUCUGAAAAAAUACAUAUCCUUUCAGCACUCUGGACGGACUUGAGAACUGUCCUUACGUGACCUAAAGCUGGAGUAUUUUGAGAUUGGAGAAUUAAGGCCAACAGAGAUUUUGAGAAACACAUUGAAGGAUCUGUUAACACUUGAUAUACCCAAUAAAAGCAGUGGUUGUGCCAGUGCUGAUCUGUCUUGAUGUGAAUGUGAACAAUGGGAACCUGAGCUGAGCAGUUAAUGCUAGGGUGACAGAAACUGGACCUCUCCCAAGACAUGUGACAGAGUAAUACAGCAGCCAACUUCUUCGCCAAAUUAAAGUUUUACAAGAUUUAACCUGUCAUCAAGACCUGGGAUUUUGGUGUAAGUCCUAAUCAUUGGGGCUAGGAAAUGUGCCUUGUCAAAUGAAUUAAUGAAUGAAUCACGCUGGACCAAAAUGAACAAAAAGUUAUUUUUUUGACUCAAUUUAGCUUAAACAUCACAUCCUGAGAUGCUGUGUUAAAUCCUGGAGUCACAAAAGACCUUUACAGAAAUCUUUACAGAUUUCUGGGAACUAUAGACACGUAUAUGAGGAUAGGUUUGGACCAUUGUAGCUGCUGUAAUAGCUGUUGUUCUGGUGAGCAGUGGGGACCCAAGUGUUAGUAGGCCCUGCAAUAAACAUGUAUGGGCCUGAGAUAAAUGGGUCAGUGUCUCUCACGAAGCUCUGUUUCGUCAAGGGAGAGUAUCCUUGGUUAUCCAGGUGGAUCCAAUCCAAUCACACGGGCCCUUAAAGGCAGAGGUUUUCUCCGACUGUGAUCAAGAAAAUGCCAUGAAAGAUUGUAAGUGUGAGAAGGAGUUGAUGUGCCACUGCUGGCUCUGAAAUGUGGGGCCCACUUGUAGGAACUGGAGGGAGAGACUGGUUGCUAACGGUGGCCCCUAGCUAACAGCCAACAGAGAAAUGGGGACCGCCGGCCUACAGCUGCAGGGAACUGAAUUCAGCAACAUGAAUAAGUUUGGAAGAGGAUCCUUCCAGAACCUCCUGAUAGGAGCCCAGUCCGCUGUCACCUUGAAUUCAGCUUCAUGAACCAGGAGCAGGGAAACCAGCUGAGCCAACCCACAUUCUGACCUAAGGAGCACUGAGGACAACCAUGUCGUGAUGAUGAUGAUGACGACGAUGACAGCGAUGGCGGUGGUGAAAGAGGAAGACAUCCCUUCAUUUCAUGUAGCAAUCUGCUUCUUGCUGGGAUUUCAAAUCCAUUUUCAUUGUUGAUCCUGAGAACAAGCCUUGGAGGCGGAAUCAUUUUGAAAUCCCAGGAAACCGGGCCUUAAGAGACGGCUGAAGACCCGAGCAGUCAUUCGGUGGAGUCUGUGAGGCCCAGAGCUGAGGAGGAGGACAUGGGUGUAGAAACGGUCGCAGCCCACACUGCUGUGCCUACAGCUCUGGAUCCUGACUGUAGCCAGUCUUGGUGCUCUGUGUUCACCUGGUUCAUCUGAGGAGCUGCAUCUACCCUGCCCAUGCCAUAGAUCCUGCCCUGUUUGCUUCUCCUGUUGCUGCUAGUGGACAUGAGAAGGACAGAAUAACGGGCUCCCAGAUUCACAAGCCCCACCAAGAGGAUCACCCCAGGAACGCUUGGAGGCUGAGGAGUUCACUGAGGCUACUGCAUCUUGAGACUCAGGAUGAAGACCCAGCUUGGGGCUGUCAAAGGUUUUUUGCAUGUCUGACACCCAUGACUCCACCUGGACCUUAUGGCUCCACCCAGAAGCAAUUCAGCCCAACAGGAGGACAGCUUCAACCCAUUACGAUUUCAUCUCUGCCCCAACCACUCAGCAGCAAGCACCUGUUACCUGUCCACCCCCACCCCUUCCCCCAAACUGCCUUUGAAAAAUCCCUAACCUAUGAGCUUUGAAUAAGAUGAGUACGAACUUCAUCGCCCACGUGGCGUGGCCGGCCUCGUGUCUAUUAAAUUCUUUUUCUACUACAA
Molecule: long non-coding RNA, 2905 nt
Filed under: Homo sapiens (human)
Lineage: Eukaryota; Metazoa; Chordata; Mammalia; Primates; Hominidae
Description: Pvt1 oncogene, transcript variant 20 (PVT1)
Rfam family: Pvt1 oncogene conserved region 1 (bases 34-211)
Source: RNAcentral